AAAUUAUCACUGAUAAUCUUGGAUGAGCAAUAAGUAUUGUAGAAAGAGAUUGAUAUUUACUCAUUGUGGUUUUGCAGGAAUCAUGCAGAGAAUUUGAAGCUGUAAUCAGUUGUUUGAAACCACAGGUUGUUUUCUUGGAGUUAUGCUCAAGUCGAGUUGCAGUGCUUACUCCGCAAAAUUUGAAGGUACCAACCAUGGGAGAAAUGAUAGAUAUGUGGAAAAAAGAGCAUAACAUGUUUGUUAUCCUUUACAGCUGGUUUCUUGCAAAGGUUGAUAGGUUGCUAGUAGGCUCGAGGUUUUCCCUGGGUCUGAAUUUCUCGUGGCAUUUGAAGAAGCAAUGAAGUAUGGUGGCAAGGUAAUUCUUGGCGAUUGUCCUGUACAGGUAAGAUGUUUCACUGGUUAUAAAGUAGGAUCGCUUCCUAAAAGAAAAGUUUGUUGUUUAAAGUUGUUGGAAAAACACUAAUUUACAUUCAACAAUCUAAUUAUUGUUUAGAGGUAGGGGUGUAAAUGAACCGAGCUUGAACGAACAAG
Molecule: long non-coding RNA, 531 nt
Organism: Hibiscus syriacus
Lineage: Eukaryota; Viridiplantae; Streptophyta; Magnoliopsida; Malvales; Malvaceae
Exons: 4
Source: RefSeq, a predicted model, not a curated record